RNAcentral lists this transfer RNA (77 nucleotides) under Eubacteriales Family XIII. Incertae Sedis bacterium. RNAcentral describes it as "tRNA-Val". It matches the Rfam family "tRNA". From Rfam's summary of the family: Transfer RNA (tRNA) molecules are approximately 80 nucleotides in length. Lineage: Bacteria; Bacillati; Bacillota; Clostridia; Peptostreptococcales; Anaerovoracaceae. The record is from RNAcentral.
GGGGGCAUAGCUCAGUUGGUUAGAGCGCAUGGAUCACAACCAUGAGGUCACAGGUUCGAAUCCUGUUGUCCCCACCA